GGACGGGAUUUGGGAGCUUGCUCCUGAUGAGAGUGGCGCACGGGUGCGUAACACGUAUGUAACCUACCCAUAUCAGGGGGAUAGCCUCUCGAAAGAGAGAUUAAGCCCGCAUAAAAUCACACUAUGGCAUCAUAGAAUGAUCAAAUAUUUAUAGGAUAUGGAUGGGCAUGCGGAACAUUAGCUAGUUGGUAAGGUAACGGCUUACCAAGGCUACGAUGUUUAGGGGAUCUGAGAGGAUGACCCCCCACACUGGUACUGAGACACGGACCAGACUCCUACGGGAGGCAGCAGUAAGGAAUAUUGGUCAAUGGACGGAAGUCUGAACCAGCCAUGCCGCGUGCAGGAAGACGGCCCUACGGGUUGUAAACUGCUUUUGUACUGGAAUAAACCUCGAUACGUGUAUCGAGUUGAAUGUACAGUAAGAAUAAGGAUCGGCUAACUCCGUG
RNAcentral lists this ribosomal RNA (446 nucleotides) under uncultured bacterium. Its description in RNAcentral is "bacterial SSU rRNA". It matches the Rfam family "Bacterial small subunit ribosomal RNA", at positions 64 to 507 of the family's 1533-position model. The record is from RNAcentral.